UAGAGUUUGAUCCUGGCUCAGGAUGAACGCUAGCGACAGGCUUAACACAUGCAAGUCGAGGGGCAGCGGGGCAGGAAGCUUGCUUUCUGCCGCCGGCGACCGGCGCACGGGUGAGUAACACGUAUGCAACCUGGCCGUGACAGAUGGAUAACCGGGAGAAAUCCCGCCUAAUACAGCAUGACGCCGGGAAGGGACAUCCCUUUCCGGCCAAAGGGGGCGACUCCGGUCACGGAUGGGCAUGCGGCGCAUUAGGUAGUUGGUGGGGCAACGGCCCACCAAGACGACGAUGCGUAGGGGUUCUGAGAGGAAGGUCCCCCACACUGGUACUGAGACACGGACCAGACUCCUACGGGAGGCAGCAGUGAGGAAUAUUGGUCAAUGGGCGGGAGCCUGAACCAGCCAAGUCGCGUGAGGGAUGACGGCCCUAUGGGUUGUAAACCUCUUUUGCCGGGGAGCAAAGUGCCGCACGUGUGCGGUUUGGAGAGUACCCGGAGAAAAAGCAUCGGCUAACUCCGUGCCAGCAGCCGCGGUAAUACGGAGGAUGCGAGCGUUAUCCGGAUUUAUUGGGUUUAAAGGGUGCGCAGGCGGAAGAUCAAGUCAGCGGUAAAAUUGAGAGGCUCAACCUCUUCGAGCCGUUGAAACUGGUUUUCUUGAGUGAGCGAGAAGUAUGCGGAAUGCGUGGUGUAGCGGUGAAAUGCAUAGAUAUCACGCAGAACUCCGAUUGCGAAGGCAGCAUACCGGCGCUCAACUGACGCUCAUGCACGAAAGUGUGGGUAUCGAACAGGAUUAGAUACCCUGGUAGUCCACACAGUAAACGAUGAAUACUAAUUGUUCGGGGAGAAUGAUCCCUGAGUGAUACAGCGAAAGCGUUAAGUAUUCCACCUGGGGAGUACGCCGGCAACGGUGAAACUCAAAGGAAUUGACGGGGGCCCGCAC
Molecule: ribosomal RNA, 936 nt
Filed under: uncultured bacterium
Lineage: Bacteria
Description: bacterial SSU rRNA
Rfam family: Bacterial small subunit ribosomal RNA
Source: RNAcentral